RNAcentral lists this ribosomal RNA (694 nucleotides) under Cryptomonas paramaecium. Its description in RNAcentral is "Cryptomonas paramecium partial Bacterial large subunit ribosomal RNA". It matches the Rfam family "Bacterial large subunit ribosomal RNA", at positions 1 to 717 of the family's 2925-position model. The record is from RNAcentral. Lineage: Eukaryota; Cryptophyceae; Cryptomonadales; Cryptomonadaceae.
UAAGCAAUUAAGGGCUUAGGCUGGAUACCUUGGCGCUCAGAAGCGAUGAAGGGCGUGUCUACCAGCGAAAUGCUUCGGGGAGCUGGACGUAAGCUUUGAUCCGGAGGUUCCCGAAUGAGGAAACUUUUUAUACUGUACAUCUAAUUCAUAGGUGUACGAGAGCUAACCUGGAGAACUGAAACAUCUUAGUAUCCAGAGGAAAAUAAAGCAAUAGCGAUUCCCAUAGUAGCGGCGAGCGAAAAGGGAACAGCCUAAACCAUCUUCGCGGGUGGGGUUGUGGGACGGCAUGUGCUUUGGUAGUUAUGGUUAGGAGAAACUUUUGGAAUGAAGUACCGCAGAAGGUGAUGGUCCUGUACCCGAAAGCCUGUUACUAUUCUAUGCUGUAUCCCAAGUAGCAUGGGCCACGUGGAAUCCCGUGUGAAUCUGCGAGGACCACCUCGUAAGGCUAAAUAUUCCUGAGCGACCGAUAGCGUACAAGUACCGUGAGGGAAAGGUGAAAAGAACCCCGGAAGGGGAGUGAAAAAGAGCAUGAAAGCGUAAGUCUACAAGCAGUGGAAGGACGACUAAACGUUCGACUUCGUACCUGUUGAAGAAUGAGCCGGCGACUUAUAGGCAGUGGCAGGGUAAGGGGUUACUACUGGAGCCAUAGUGAAAACGAGCUUUUAUAGAGCGUUGGGCACUGUUUUUAGAACCG